Long non-coding RNA from Vespa velutina, 1012 nucleotides. RefSeq lists it as uncharacterized. NCBI's taxonomy places the organism in Eukaryota, Metazoa, Arthropoda, Insecta, Hymenoptera, Vespidae. The record is from RefSeq and is a predicted model, not a curated record. The transcript is spliced from 2 exons.
UUUCUCUUAAAGGAACUUUCAAAUUUCGUAGACUCGUCAUCAUGUGUAUAAAAGAAUUUUCAAAUUUCAUAGAUUCGCCAUCAUGUGUUUAUAUAAAUCAUUAGAUAAACGAGACAGGUGUACGUUUUAGUCUAAUUAAAUAGUUCAUGCCGGUUGAGGUUAUGUUCAAAUAACGUAAGAAAUCUCGAGAAAGCUGAAUGAAAGCGAUCAAAUUAUGUUUUCCAAUCGUAAAUUACAAUCGAGAGGUAUACUUAAACGAUGAAAAGAACGUAUUAAUUUGAAGAACUUUCGAAAUUAUUAUUGAUUAAUAUUAUACACGUAAUAUUGGAUAUAUCUUAUGAGUCUAGACUCAGUAAGAAACGAUAUAAAAAGAAAGUGGACAAGAAUACAGCUUACCUGACAUUGUUUCUCCGUCGGGCUUAUGGCUCGUUCGAUCUCCACUCGUGACUUGGUAAAUGUUGUUGAAAGUUUCUUUCGUAUUUCAGAAAAAUGUCCGAACUGGCACAGUUUUUCCGCACGAGCACAAAGCCGACUCGACCCUAUACACGCCAUAGCGAAAACUGUAGUGAGUCGAGCCAGCCAACUUGUGAAGACUUUCGACCUAGACUAAUCCCCACCGAUAUUUCUCAAAGAUGUGACCCUCUCCCCCACUCUAUCCCCACUUCUUUGCUCACCUUUCGUUUUCCCAAUAUGUUAUCUCUUUAAAUGUACACUCCCAAAGAGUGCGUUCCUUCUCCAUGCAAGAGAGUUUUUGAUAUUUAGCGUAUCGUUCAGUGACGUUGCCGCGUCUUACUAAUAUUAUCGUAGUGAUACGAUCAUAAAUCGUAAGAAAUGCAUGAUCGUAAAAACGCGUAUUCUCAUUUUUGGCAAGACAACAAAUUAAGCGAUCUGCUUUUGGUGAUCCUUCCAGGCACAUUACAUUAUCAUCUGCAAAGGAUAGUAUUUGUCAUUGUCUCUGAAUUGUUAAAAUUUGUAGAUUACAAUUUGAAAAAUAUAAAUCCUUUACCUUCAA